GAUGCACUCCGCACUGUAAACAUGAAAAUCAAAAAAUAAUAAAAAACACAAAAUAUUGGAUUGUACCAAGCAACAGACAGGCCAUCAUGGGAAACAUACACCACAGAGUUAAUAUGGUUCUGAUCGCAUUGGUUAUGGCAAUGUCUGCACAUGAAUUUCUCACUCCUCAAGAAAACCAAUCAACUUCUUCAUCAGAACUUCCAAUGAAUAGUACUUCAGAUGGACAAAACGACUCACCGGGAAGAGCUGAAGCCCACUCUGCCUGGCCCAUUGUGCUCGGUGCGUUGACAGCAGUGCUUUCCAUCGGCCUCCUGAUAGCACUGGCCGUGAGGUACCGCUUCUUCCGAUGGUGCCUGACCAGAAACAGUCCCGCUUUAUUACUGGAGGGAGAAACGGCCAGUCAGUUCAGCCAAGCUGGAGAUCUGGAGAGAGAGAUCCCAGUGCAUGGCAUGAGGGGCAGAAUGAUCCGGAGGGGAGAAAGUUCAGAUGAUGAUGAUGAUGAUGGCUUCAUCGAGGAUAACUACAUCCAGGCAAACGAGAGAGAGAAAGCAGAGGAAGAGGAAAUCCAGCAGGA
Molecule: long non-coding RNA, 574 nt
Filed under: Sinocyclocheilus anshuiensis
Lineage: Eukaryota; Metazoa; Chordata; Actinopteri; Cypriniformes; Cyprinidae
Description: lncRNA (ENSSANG00000029260.1)
Source: RNAcentral